CAGGACCAUAUGCUCAAAACUCUUUGUA
This 28-nucleotide non-coding RNA is filed under the name Cricetulus griseus (Chinese hamster). Lineage: Eukaryota; Metazoa; Chordata; Mammalia; Rodentia; Cricetidae. The record is from RNAcentral.